This 65-nucleotide microRNA precursor is filed under the name Sphenodon punctatus (tuatara). RNAcentral's name for it is "Spt-Mir-146-P2_pre stem-loop". Lineage: Eukaryota; Metazoa; Chordata; Lepidosauria; Sphenodontia; Sphenodontidae. The record is from RNAcentral.
UGAGAACUGAAUUUCAUGGACUGGUUGUAAUUCAUUGUCUUCAGUCCAUAGUACUCAGUUCUCUA